CCUACGUGUGGCAGCAGUGAGGAAUAUUGGUCAAUGGGCGGGAGCCUGAACCAGCCAAGCCGCGUGAGGGAAGACGGUACAGCGUAUCGUAAACCUCUUUUGUCAGGGGACAAAGGCGGGGACUCGUCCCCGGCUGAGGGUACCUGAAGAAAAAGCAUCGGCUAACUCCGUGCCAGCAGCCGCGGUAAUACGGAGGAUGCGAGCGUUAUCCGGAUUUAUUGGGUUUAAGGGGUGCGACGGCGGCCUGUUAAGUCAGCGGGAAAAGCCCGGGGCUCAACCCCGGCGAGCCUUUGAAACUGGUGGGCUGGAGAUGGAGAGAAGUACGCGGAAUGCGCGGUGUAGCGGUGAAAUGCUUAGAUAUCGCGCAGAACACCGAUUGCGAAGGCAGCGUACCGACUCCACACUGACGCUGAGGCACGAAAGCGUGGGUAGCGAACAGGAUUAGAUACCCGGGUAGUC
RNAcentral lists this ribosomal RNA (459 nucleotides) under uncultured bacterium. RNAcentral's name for it is "partial 16S ribosomal RNA". It matches the Rfam family "Bacterial small subunit ribosomal RNA", at positions 338 to 795 of the family's 1533-position model. The record is from RNAcentral.